RNAcentral lists this small RNA (801 nucleotides) under Pongo abelii (Sumatran orangutan). RNAcentral describes it as "retained intron". The record is from RNAcentral. Lineage: Eukaryota; Metazoa; Chordata; Mammalia; Primates; Hominidae.
GGGUUGCUGGGCAGCCCCUCUGCCUGCCUGACCCCUGCCUGGUUCCACAGGGCACUACCUGAAGGCCCCUUGCACGGAGCCCUGUGGCAACUCCACCUGCCUUCUGUGUCCCCAAGACACCUUCUUGGCCUGGGAGAACCACCAUAAUUCUGAAUGUGCCCGCUGCCAGGCCUGUGAUGAGCAGGCCUCCCAGGUGGCGCUGGAGAACUGUUCGGCAGUGGCCGACACCCGCUGUGGCUGUAAGCCAGGCUGGUUUGUGGAGUGCCAGGUCAGCCAAUGUGUCAGCAGUUCACCCUUCUACUGCCAACCAUGCCUAGACUGCGGGGCCCUGCACCGCCACGCACGGCUACUCUGUUCCCGCAGAGAUACUGACUGUGGGACCUGCCUGCCUGGCUUCUAUGAACACGGCAAUGGCUGCGUGUCCUGCCCCACGAGCACCCUGGGGAGCUGUCCAGAGCGCUGUGCCGCUGUCUGUGGCUGGAGGCAGAGUGCUCCUGGCUGGCCUUGUGGUCCCCCUCCUGCUUGGGGCCAUGCUGACCUACACAUACCGCCACUGCUGGCCUCACAAGCCCCUGGUUACUGCAGAUGAAGCUGGGAUGGAGGCUCUGACCCCACCACCGGCCACCCAUCUGUCACCCUUGGACGGCGCCCACACCCUUCUAGCACCUCCUGACAGCAGUGAGAAGAUCUGCACCGUCCAGUUGGUGGGCAACAGCUGGACCCCUGGCUACCCCGAGACCCAGGAGGCGCUCUGCCCGCAGGCGACAUGGUCCUGGGACCAGUUGCCCAACAGAGCUCUUG